Long non-coding RNA from Brienomyrus brachyistius, 835 nucleotides. RefSeq lists it as uncharacterized. The transcript is spliced from 3 exons. NCBI's taxonomy places the organism in Eukaryota, Metazoa, Chordata, Actinopteri, Osteoglossiformes, Mormyridae. The record is from RefSeq and is a predicted model, not a curated record.
UGCCACGCCCCCUGAUUAUCCACGUCUGCUUCCCCGAUCUAGCCCAGCUGUGUGCGAUUAUUUUCGCCCAGUCCUGUCAAUUUCAGUCCAUAUCUUGCCUUCGUUCCUGGUCCGUCAUUGAUGUUAGUCUAUGUCCGAUGUUUCCUGGUCCCCGUACCUUGAUUAAAUCCCCGUUUUUUCUCCCUGUAUUUCGCCUUCCUGCCUGCUUGCCUGCCCGUGCACUUACCCGCUUAACCAGCGCUCCUGACAGUAACCAUAACAGGGAUGACUACAGAUUGGCUCCAGAAUUACUCCUAACUGUGAUAUACAACAGCUCCCUGAAAGCUUUGGUCUGGGUGGAUGACAGGGGGCAGAAAGCUCUUCCAUGUUCGCCUGUACGGCUGCUUAGGUGUUUGAUUGGAUUUCAUCAUGGCUGCUUGGAAGAGCCUGGCAUCAUGCUCACAGGGUCAUGGGGGUCCAGAGCCUAUCCCGGAAUUUACAGAUGCAAGGCAGGGAAUAGCCCAGGAGAGGGUGGCAACCUAAGGAACCUUACCGUGGACCAUCCGUCCUUCAUCAUGCCCUGGCCAUACCCAUUUAUGGUCGAAGAUGGUCUUAGAUGGUCAUGUCCCAGCUCUUAAUGCUCUUUGAUGGUUUAGCUGGGUGGGUCUCCUGUUGGUCAUACUGAUGUGGCCAGCCUAUCAAGUUGACCGUCAUUGGUAUGACCAGCUACACCAUCACACGAUCAUGCAAAAACACACCUUAAGCUGGUCAACAAUUGGUCAACCAGCUCAACCAGCUUUAGCUUAAACUCUUAAGAGGUAACAUAUUACAAUGUGCAUAAUCAUUUAUCACUUAG